This is a non-coding RNA of Spirosoma linguale DSM 74, 72 nucleotides long. The record is from Rfam. NCBI's taxonomy places the organism in Bacteria, Pseudomonadati, Bacteroidota, Cytophagia, Cytophagales, Cytophagaceae.
GCCGUUAUAGCUCAGCGGUAGAGCACUUCCUUGGUAAGGAAGAGGUCCGGGGUUCAAGUCCCCGUAACGGCU